GAACAUUAUUUUACGGUGGUCAAAUUUAUAGACAUGGAAGAUACAUAGAAGAUUAACUUGUCCCAUGCGCAAGGAUGAUACGCACAAAUAAAAAAAUUGUCCAAAUUUUU
Brassica rapa (field mustard) is the source of this 110-nucleotide non-coding RNA. NCBI's taxonomy places the organism in Eukaryota, Viridiplantae, Streptophyta, Magnoliopsida, Brassicales, Brassicaceae. The record is from Rfam.